RNAcentral lists this unclassified non-coding RNA (75 nucleotides) under Selenihalanaerobacter shriftii. Lineage: Bacteria; Bacillati; Bacillota; Clostridia; Halanaerobiales; Halobacteroidaceae. The record is from RNAcentral.
AAGAGCCCAGUGCGAUAAUUUCGCACGCUGGGAUCUGUGCGGGGGAUGUUGGGUAACUAACAUUCCUACCGUGAC